AAAAGAAAUACAUCUUACUGCAUUCAUUCAGCUCAAAUAAAAUUAUUUAAUUUCAACUACAAAGAAAACAAAAAGAAGAAAAAUAUGGUCAAAUGAGAAGAAGGGGCAUGGCUCUGUUCUUAGAAAUGAAAGUGAAUUGAUGGAGUUGACUAGUUGGGGGUUAGUGUAAGUAACUUUAGACCAUCAGCACUUGCAGGAUUAGUGUAAGUAAUUAAAAUAUGAUGUUAUUUUUUAUUAUCUCUUGUAACUUAAAAAUAACUACGGGAUAGUAACAUAAUGGCUAAAGAUCUUAAUGUUUCAAAACCUUAGUUGCACUAUUACAACUCCAUAAUUAACUUUUUAUUUUUCCUACCUGAUUUAACAUAUAUAUUUGUUUUCCAGAGAAGUAUUAAAAUAUGGUGACUUGAUAAACUCAAAUAUCAUGGGUAGAAUGUUACUCUACGGCUUUUAACUCAAGUGGGUUGAGUCAUGCUGGAGGUCAACCAAAACCCAAAAUGUGGAAUGAAGAAUACUCAGCUCCAAACACACAGCUGACAUAUGCUUCAGCAGACUCUCGCACUAACUUAAUGCGUGCAUAGCUUUUUAACAUAAAUUCACUUCAGGAAUAGCUAAAGCUAUAAUACUUUUAACCUUGAUUCAGGACAUAAAACCCCAAGCUUAAACAGAUUGGUUUCAACUUGCAUGACUAACUUCAACACGUGGAGAAAAAAUUUCUAAUAUGGUAAAAUUAGAGAUUGGAAGUGUUUUUGUCUGUGCUUACUGUAAGUGAAUUACCUGGGGGUUUUAAAGGGCUGAAAGAAAUUUUUCUUUAGUUCAAAGCUUUGAGUAUGCAUACUUAAUAAUCUAGCAAUUAUUACUUACCAGUAUAUCAAUACAAUAUUUUCAUCUUUUAGUCCUAUAACUUGUUGUAUUUGUUAGAAAUCAUGUCAAUACGGAAAUCUAAAUCAAGGGCACUGCAAAAUUUCACACAUCCGUCAUGUAAAACAAAAGGGCCUUCCAACUGAACUAAAGCCUGCAAUUAUGACCCAGCAAACAUGAGAGGAACUAGGCAAUCACAUUUACAAUCUUUACUAACUGAUGUGAUGAAUAAUCGAAAUAAACUAGCUUUUGGAUAAUGCUAUCACUCUCUACUCAUCUUCAAACAUAAAAGAACAAAUUUCAAACUUAAAUCUCUCUCUAUCACUAUGAACAGUUGCAAUUUCACCCCUUCCAAAAGAAAAUCAUCCUUGUCCGGUAACACACAAAUAAAUAAUUCACAAUAGUCAAUGACAAGCAAUACUCACGAAAUUUGCCAUUACCUACACAAUUUGAGAGCAGCAGAGACGAUAGAGAAGAGAGAAAGCAGACCCACGGUGAGAGACCAACGACGAGAGAUCCACGGCCAGAGACAAAUGCCAAGCACCACCGCCGAGAAAGUUUGAGAAUAGAGACGACAGGGAAGAGAGACAGCAGACCCACGGCCAGAGACCAACGCCAAGCACCCUCAGAAGGUUUGAGAACAGUGAGAUUUCUGUGAGAGCAAAUGGAGAAAAGUUGUGCGUCGCGUGAGAUGGAUUGCGCGUGUGUUGGGAUUGCUAUGUGUAUUACACGUGAGUUGGCUCAUUUUAUAGUAUGUCCAAAACGCACCGUUUGGUGCUUAUUGUGGUGCUUAACGUGGGAAGAAUCUCAUUUUCCUAUACAAGUGCAUGUGUUUCUGUCCGUGCAUGUAUCACAUAUAUGCAAGUGUGCUUCUGUCCGUGCAUGUAUAGCAUGAGCAUAAGUUUAUGUAUGCGCGAGUUAUGCACACACGUACGUGCGUGAACUCUCGAGGUAUACAAAUGUGAUAGGAUUUUUCCAAAACAGUAUGCUGAAAACUUCAAGGCAUGUAAUCCAAGGCAGUAACUCAUUUAAUUGUACAAGUUAGCUCACGACUAUAAACAACCAUCAAAAUCUAAACUAAAAUCAUAGUCUACAAGCUUUCAAGUAGCUGAUUAAAAGUCUGAACUUUUUUUGGUUGAGAAGUCAGUAAAGUGGCUUCCAAAUUCAAAACUUCAAGCUGUAGAAUAUUUGGCAUUUGACAAUCCUGCACCGAACGAAGAAAAAUGGAAAAAUUAGCAAAAUUUUUCAAAGUGAUGGAGAGGAGAAGCGACAAAUUGCAAAGGGUUUGGUGCAACAGUACAAUCAUUUUGGCUAUAAAUAGAGAUUCAUUUUUCACUUGGAAAUCAUCCCAAAUUUGAGAACUUAAGAGAAAUUGCAAGUGAAGCAAUUUUAGAGUUCUGAGAGUGUGAGCAAUUGGAGAAUGUGUGUGAGAAUACAGAGUGUAUUUGGGUUCUGGGAAAGUGAGGUUUCUCUACCCAAAUUUAUACUCUAGUAAUUAUUAGUAAUACAAUUAUUUUUCUUUUGCUCCCGUGGAUGUAGGCAUAUUGCCGAACCACGUAAACUUCUGCGUCCUUUAUUUUUUUGUGAUUAUUUGAUGCGCUUAAUUCCGCAUUCUGUGCAAAACAAUUUUCACAUCCACAACUAAAAUAGUUAAAAAACUUUAAUAAAUCUAAAAGGGUAGCAACAAAAUGCUUAAAAAGUACAAUUUUGGGGCAUCCAUUGAAUAAUCAUCAACUAACAUUUCAAUAUCACAAACAUUAUAAGUUAUAAUACAACAAAUAGAGAGAAUAUACAAAAUCAAAAAUUACACAAAGAAAAUGUUCGAGUUUAACGGAGACACCAUGGCUGAGUUGAACGAAAGAUGGAGCUGAGUUGAAAUUGCGAAUGCAUGAAUGCAUGAAGUCUGAGUCUACGAUUAAUGGGUCACCCAUUGAAAUUCAUUACAUAACGAGACGGAUUUGGAUUUAAGAAUAAAAAAUCUUUCACCAAAUAACCUGCUACCACGUAAUAUUAAUAAUUCAAUAUUUUGAUAUUUUAAAUUACU
This 2902-nucleotide long non-coding RNA is filed under the name Citrus x clementina. RNAcentral's name for it is "Citrus clementina (C. clementina) long non-coding RNA (CCLE_LNC004278)". Lineage: Eukaryota; Viridiplantae; Streptophyta; Magnoliopsida; Sapindales; Rutaceae. The record is from RNAcentral.